AACGAACGCUGGCGGCGUGACUAACACAUGCAAGUCGAACGGGGAAAGUAGCAAUACGAGUACUAGUGGCGCACGGGUGAGGAAUACAUGGGUAAUCUGCCCUCGAGCUCGGGAUAACCAGUCGAAAGACUGGCUAAUACCGGAUAUGACCACAAGAUCUGAGGAUCAAGGGGUAAAAGGUUUUUCGCUCGAGGAUGAGCCCAUGUGGGAUUAGCUAGUUGGUGUAGGUAACGGCUCACCAAGGCGACGAUCCCUAACUGGUCUUAGAGGAUGAUCAGUCACACUGGAACUGAGACACGGUCCAGACUCCUACGGGAGGCAGCAGUAGGGGAAUAUUGCACAAUGGAGGAAACUCUGAUGCAGCGACGCCGCGUGAGUGAUGAAGGCCUUCGGUCGUAAGACUCUGUCGUAUGGGACUAACAAAAUAGAAGGUAACCGAAUAGCAAGAAAAGGGAAGUACGGCGUAACUUACGUUGCC
RNAcentral lists this ribosomal RNA (478 nucleotides) under uncultured bacterium. RNAcentral's name for it is "bacterial SSU rRNA". It matches the Rfam family "Bacterial small subunit ribosomal RNA", at positions 29 to 525 of the family's 1533-position model. The record is from RNAcentral.